Molecule: ribosomal RNA, 370 nt
Filed under: uncultured eukaryote
Lineage: Eukaryota
Description: partial 18S ribosomal RNA
Rfam family: Eukaryotic small subunit ribosomal RNA
Source: RNAcentral
CAAUAGCGUAUAUUAAAGUUGUUGCAGUUAAAAAGCUCGUAGUUGGACCUUGGACCUGGACAGGCGGUCCGCCUCACGGCGUGUACUGUCUUGCUGGGUCUUUCCUCUUGGUGAUCUGUUGUUUCGGCAGCAGGGAACCAGGACUUUUACUUUGAAAAAAUUAGAGUGUUCAAAGCAGGCUCGACGCCGGAAUAUAUUAGCAUGGAAUAAUAAACUAGGACGUGCGGUUCUAUUUUGUUGGUUUUUGGAAUCGCCGUAAUGAUUAAUAGGGACAGUCGGGGGCACUAGUACUCACAUGCUAGAGGUGAAAUUCUUGGAUUUUGUGAAGACUAACUUCUGCGAAAGCAUUUGCCAAGGAUGUUUUCAUUAA